Molecule: ribosomal RNA, 256 nt
Filed under: uncultured bacterium
Lineage: Bacteria
Description: partial 16S ribosomal RNA
Rfam family: Bacterial small subunit ribosomal RNA
Source: RNAcentral
GCAAGUCGAACGAACAAUCUUCCUUCGGGAAGUGCGUUAGUGGCGAACGGGUGAGGAACACGUAAGAAACCUGCCCCAAAGACGAGGAUAACUAUUGGAAACGAUAGCUAAUACUGGAUAGGACAUUUGAUCGCAUGAUCUUAUGUUUAAAGGUGCUUUCAAGCACCGCUAUGGGAUGGUCUUGCGCAGCAUUAGCUAGUUGGUAAGGUAACGGCUUACCAAGGCGACGAUGCUUAGCUGGUCUGAGAGGAUGAAC